GAUGAACGCUGGCGGCGUGCCUAAUACAUGCAAGUCGAGCGAAUGAUGAGGAGCUUGCUCCUCUGAUUUAGCGGCGGACGGGUGAGUAACACGUGGGUAAUCUGCCUGUAAGACGGGGAUAACUCCGGGAAACCGGGGCUAAUACCGGAUAACAAGAGAAGAAGCAUUUCUUCUUUUUGAAAGUCGGUUUUGGCUGACACUUACAGCUGAGCCCGCGGCGCAUUAGCUAGUUGGUGAGGUAACGGCUCACCAAGGCGACGAUGCGUAGCCGACCUGAGAGGGUGAUCGGCCACACUGGGACUGAGACACGGCCCAGACUCCUACGGGGGGCAGCAGUAGGGAAUCUUCGGCAAUGGGCGAAAGCCUGACCGAGCAACGCCGCGUGAGCGAUGAAGGCCUUCGGGUCGUAUAGCUCUGUUGUUAGAGAAGAACAAGUACGAGAGUAACUGCUCGUACCUUGACGGUACCUAACCAGAAAGCCACGGCUAACUACGUGCCAGCAGCCGCGGUAA
This 512-nucleotide ribosomal RNA is filed under the name uncultured bacterium. Its description in RNAcentral is "partial 16S ribosomal RNA". It matches the Rfam family "Bacterial small subunit ribosomal RNA", at positions 28 to 523 of the family's 1533-position model. The record is from RNAcentral.